Long non-coding RNA from Pimephales promelas (fathead minnow), 872 nucleotides. RefSeq lists it as uncharacterized. NCBI's taxonomy places the organism in Eukaryota, Metazoa, Chordata, Actinopteri, Cypriniformes, Leuciscidae. The record is from RefSeq and is a predicted model, not a curated record.
UAUCAUAGACUGUCUAUGUGGAUUAUGGGAUUACCCGGGAUUACCUCAGAGCGCAGUGCGCGUGCGAUUCAGUCUGGCAUUAACCGUUAUUUUCAAGAACGAGCUGUGAAAUUCCCUUACUGAAUGCCGUUUUAAGAUCGUCGUUGUGUUCGUUCGAGUGUUGAAGUUGUGUGCGUCCAGAGAGAAAAUCACACACAUAUGCUGAUUCACUUCUAUGGACAUAAAGCACUUCUAUGGACAUAAAAAACGAUACAGAGAUUCCUUCUCCGACUUUGGUGUUCUAAUCGGCACACCCGUAUCAGCUUCAUCUUAUUAGCAACAGCUAGCACCUUAGUUACAAAUUUAUUUAUAUUUUGCACAUUUAAAAUGACAUAAAAAUGACAAUGAUAAUAAUAACAAAACAUAAAAUAUAUAAACAAAAUAAGGCAAAUAUGAUGUGCAGGAAGAGGCAAAAAAAACAAAUGGGCUUCUCCGUAAAGGUAAUUACUCUGGUGCUGAUGCUCCGUGUAAAGGACACAAUCUGGCAACUAUUGAAGCAAACAUAGUUUGUGCUAUGAGGAAAAACUCUACUGUGCACACAGAGAACAGAGCUCAAUGCUGCUAACUGGGGGAGCAGCUGGACAACUAGAAGAGAGAAUAGUAGAACACUAUUAAUACAGAUUCCUGGAUUAUUCUUCUGCAAGAACCAAGACAAGCAAAGACUGAUGAUGAGUGCUCUGAGCAAACACCGCAGUCAAGACGCAUGAGUGACUUUACGGAGUUCUACAUGUAAUGUUGGGCAUUUACUGUACGCAGAACUUCUAGUAAUUUAUGUGGAUGCCAUUCAUUAACCUGAUUUUGAUGUUUUAGUUUUGAGAUUAAUAAAAUUGUAU